AUUUCUAUAUGAUGGGUUUCUUUUGUAAUCCUAUUUGUUUUAUGUGUUUCAAAAUGAUAUUCCAAGAGAAUUUAUAAGCUCUACACUGCCAAAAGAGUUUAUGUCACAAGUAAGAUUAAAACUCCUAAUCUAGAAACUUGGUUGAUAUAGACAAUUUUUGUGUCUUUAACCAUAUUUCUUUUGAUCAGGUGUGGGCAAUAAUAGUGAAGGUGGAAGAGGAAAGGCAGGUGCAAAGCUUUUCCAAGAUUUUCAGAUGUUAAGUAGAAUAUGGACUCAUCCUUGGUGUUUGCAGCUAGACUACAUUAGCAAAGAAAAUAAGGGUUAUUUUGAUGAAGACAGUAUGGAUGAAUUUAUAGCCUCAGAUUCUGAUGAAACCUCCAUGAGUUUAAGCUCCGAUGAUUAUAC
Molecule: small RNA, 405 nt
Filed under: Pan troglodytes (chimpanzee)
Lineage: Eukaryota; Metazoa; Chordata; Mammalia; Primates; Hominidae
Description: retained intron
Source: RNAcentral